GGAGAGUUGGCUGAGCGGUCAAAAGCAGCAGACUGUAAAUCUGCCGGGCCACGCCCUACGGAGGUUCGAAUCCUCCACUCUCCACCA
This 87-nucleotide transfer RNA is filed under the name Acidobacteriota bacterium. RNAcentral's name for it is "tRNA-Tyr". It matches the Rfam family "tRNA". From Rfam's summary of the family: Transfer RNA (tRNA) molecules are approximately 80 nucleotides in length. Their secondary structure includes four short double-helical elements and three loops (D, anti-codon, and T loops). RNAcentral also lists the same sequence under 4 other names. Lineage: Bacteria; Pseudomonadati; Acidobacteriota. The record is from RNAcentral.